AGUCUUCAGGCCCCAGGUCAGUGAGUGGCAAGCCAGGCCCAGAGAGCUCUGGGCCCAUUGGAACAUCCCCUUCUCGGGAGGCUGGAAGGCCAUGGUCAUUCACCUCUCCCCAGCAAGGUGGGACCUGCCCUGGAAGAAGAAACCAGACCAGCUUUUGUCUUGCUUGAAGAAGAUGGAAUUGCUCAAUGAUGACAGUGAAGGAAUUUGAAAGGUCUAGAGUGCAGCCAGUCAAGAAGAUUUCUAGAAAUUGGGCCCAAAGUGUCUUUGGAUGAUGAAAUUAGGAUGACAGUGGCAAUGUUAUCGUCAUGGUUAUUUCCUUGAGCAUGGCAUGGAAGAUGAGGUGUUCUAGUGAAGUUUCUCACUGGCCCAAACUGUUGUGAUAAAUCCUUUGAAGCUAUAUCAAUUCAUCCAGUUUCAACUUCCAGAGCUUCGGGAA
This 436-nucleotide small RNA is filed under the name Pan troglodytes (chimpanzee). Its description in RNAcentral is "processed transcript". The record is from RNAcentral. Lineage: Eukaryota; Metazoa; Chordata; Mammalia; Primates; Hominidae.